UUGCUUCAGCAGUGCAUGUACUUAAACUGGAACAAUACAGAGAAGUUUGUCAUGGCUCCUGUGCAAGGAUGGCAUGCAGAUUAUUGAAGUGUUCCACAUUUUU
Molecule: small nuclear RNA, 103 nt
Filed under: Coturnix japonica (Japanese quail)
Lineage: Eukaryota; Metazoa; Chordata; Aves; Galliformes; Phasianidae
Source: RNAcentral